GAGGCAGUGGCACCGCACCUGUGCGGAAGAAAGGGAAGAGGAACAGAGCCCGGGGGACCUCACAAGGCCGUGCAGCUGGGAUGCCUGUUCGAGAAGAGAGAGCAGCGAGCGUGGGAGGAGCCUCACCCUAAGAUGCAGCACCCAGCCUCCUUAGGGAGCUCUGGUGAAGAAGUCACCCGCAAAGCAACCGCACGCCACCCAGGAAGCACCACCCCAUGCUGUCACUGGCUGGGGCUGCUGGUAGAGCACGUGGCCUCAUCGGGACAGUAGGGCAGGGCCACAAGCCACCCUGGCCAAGGCUGUCAUUGGGCUGCAGCUCCCCCGGAGGGAGGUCCACGAAGCCUGCCUCCCUGCGUGCUGCAGACAUUGUGGAUGCUUCUCCCCUUUGCCUUUCUUACAAACAUUUUGCUUUGCUCUUCUCUUCUCCCUCACCCCCCAGCUGUCUUCAGUGUUGGGUGAUCCCUGGAUGCCUGCUCAUUUGUUAGAGCAGAGCAAGAGAAAGUGCUCAGGAGGGCCUGGCAGCUGGCCAACCUCACCUCCAGGAUGGAGCUGGACAAACUAACUUGGGGCUCGGUCCAGGAAAGGGUCGGAAAGCAAACUGCACAGGUGCCUCUGGGGUACCCAGUGAUGGCCUCUGCAACUUCUAGGCACUCCAAAAUAACUCCUUAAAUUUCCUACAGCCAAGAUCUCAGCUGGCUCUAAGGUGUAGUUUGUCCCCGCGAGGAGAAGGUGACUAAGAGCCGGGAGCUGGGCCCACCCCUCGACCACCUUGGGGCCUCCUCAAGACUUCCAGACAAAAACAUUCCUUGAUCAAGGAGUGGAAAAGGAGAUUUGAUAUCAAGUCGUGCGAUCUUUUUUUUGGCUGACAGCACGCAAUUCAGCUGUUGGGGAUGAAGUGCAGCCUCAGCGCACACCAGGUACCAAGGCGUCCACUUGCCUUCACCCUCUGUUGUACCAGCACAGCCCUCACCUUAGUCUGCUCAAGCUGCUUCAGCAAAAUGCUGUACAGUGAACUGGGCACCUGGCAGCUACAGAAACGGACUGGUCACAUUCCUAGGAUCAAAGCCCAGCAGAUGCGCAGUGUGGAAGCACGCUUUCUGCUCCACAGCAGUGACUUCUCACUCGUCCCUGGAGGAGGCCAUCAACAGGCCCCCUCAGGACCCCUUGGUAAGGACACGAAUCCCAUUUAUGAGGCAACCACCUCAUGGCCCAGUCAUCUCCCCAAAGCCCCACCUUCUACCCCAUGCCCUUGGGGCUCAAGACUUCAACAUGUGAAUCCGAGAGGGGAGCAAACAUUCAGGCCACAGCACCGCUCUUCACACAAGGGCAAAAGACACUGAUAAGUACCAAGAGCAGAGUAACCAGGAAAAGCAGUGCCCCUGCAUUUGUUACCAACUGUAAGAAAGUUCCACGGCCUUCCCAUGACUUAGCGCAGGGGGACUCAGAGCCUUGGACAUACAAGCAGCUCAGGGAAGGACUUGGGCCGAGUGGCUGGUGGUGCAGAUGGGCUUGGGGGGUGGCUGUUCUGCGGCCCCCUGCACCUGACCCGCACUGAGAAGAAGUGCAGGGCCCUGGGUGGAUUGGAGGUGACCAGGACCCUCCCUGCUGACACAUCACCCGGACCUCUCAGGCCCUGGACAGAAGCUGGCCUGCAGCCCAGAGCCCCAGCUGAGCUGCAUCGGAAGGUUCCAGCAACUCCUCCUCCAUCCGUUCCUCUCUCUUCCAUCAAGGCUUCCUCUGGAGCAGAGGGCCCGGGCCAUCACUCCAUUGCUCUUCCAACCCUCAGACCAAGGACAGAGCAGGGGACAAGCAGGUCCCAACCCCACCCUCCCCAGGCCCUGGCCCAUCUGCUUUCCCCAGCAGCACGGCAGAGGGAGGUGACCCAUCCCCUCCACCUGGGCUUCAGGGGAUACCACUCGCCUCCCACCCGUCCUCGGCCUCCUGACACUGAGGACAGCCAGAGCCCCUCUCCUGGACGCUGUCCCCUUGCCCAUGGGUGACGGAGCUGCAGGAGGAGUUUCUACACAGGGCAGCUCCUUUCCGAUGUCACAGGGUACCUCAGCCAAGAUUGAAGGAGGGUGGCCCCGAGCUGCCCCUUGCCAGCCACGUUCCAGGGACAGCAGUCAAGGCUGUGGCCUUCAGAGUGGCUUCUGGAUGGAGAAGGUGUGUGCACCGAAGGUUCUCUUCCUGCACUGCCCUCUGGGGAGCUGUCCCAAGACAGGGUGAGGCAGGGCUCCUGGGGGGCAGAGGGGCCAGGCCUGCCCCUGGGAGGCGCUUCGUGAGUGAUGGAAGGGGCUGGUCAGGAGCUCGGCCCAGAUUGUGGCUCGGCCAUGGGCAGUGAGCCCCAGUAUGCUGCCACAUUAGAAUUCAAGUAAAGUCAGGAGAUAGGUGGAAGGCUUGGUCCCCCGCUCAUGGUGCUGUGGGGGCCUAGAGGGGAGUCCUUCAGUCACCCAGGAUGUGGCCUUGAAGGGGACUGCGAAACCUCAGGCUUCUCCUCUCCCUCUGCCCUCUGGCCCCUGCCACAUACCUCCCACUGUGCCCACCCAGCUCCCCCACCAGGGUCCAGAGAAAUGCCCCACCGCAGCAGAAAGCUGACCACCAGUCCUAUGGCUCAUGUCCUGCUGCUCACCAAGCCCAGUGCAGUUAGGUGGGUCCCAUCUUGUCAUGUCACUCACCAAAGGACCCACGCAGCUCUGGGGUGACUCGGUGUGUGCAGAGGCCAGAGCCACUGCCUCCCCCUCCCUGAGGAGUCAACGGUGAGGCUGGGUGUGUCUGGUGGGGCACAGAAGGUGACCUUGGGUUCGUAUCAUGUCCUUCAUCCCUUCCUCUCAGCACUCUUCUGCUCUGCAUCCAGGAACUACGGAGCUCUCCUUCUGGCCCUUCCACCAUGGUAUUUCUGCCCUGGACCAGCCAACCCUGGACUGAAUCCUCUGAAACACUGAGCCAAGCUAACCUCUUUUCCUCAAACUUCCCAUAUCAGGUAGUUUGUCCAGCAUGGGGAAAGCUGACUGUUCCGUGGUCCUUCCGGUCCCUGGAUAAUUCCCUGUCUGAGCGUAUUUGCACCCUGCUCAGAGAAAACUCCGAGCAAAGAAGGAAGAUAAAACUCCCCUUCAGGGUCCAAGAUGGGAGUUGGAUCUUUGUAAAUUAAAAAACAAAGGGAAAAGCAAGUCUGUGGCCCAUCUUUGAGUGGGAAGCUUCAUUUAUUCUCCUGCUCUUACUUACCCGCCCACAACAGGGUGAGAGCGAUCUGAUCUGUGAGGAGGGAGCAGCAGCCACAGC
Non-coding RNA from Heterocephalus glaber (naked mole-rat), 3279 nucleotides. The record is from RefSeq and is a predicted model, not a curated record. NCBI's taxonomy places the organism in Eukaryota, Metazoa, Chordata, Mammalia, Rodentia, Bathyergidae.